Molecule: long non-coding RNA, 197 nt
Organism: Pyrgilauda ruficollis (rufous-necked snowfinch)
Lineage: Eukaryota; Metazoa; Chordata; Aves; Passeriformes; Passeridae
Exons: 3
Source: RefSeq, a predicted model, not a curated record
GUGACACGGUGACACGGUGACAGGUGACAGGUGACACGGUGACAGGUGACACAGUGACAGGAGACACGGUGGCAGUGGCUCCUUAGCGCGCAGCCACGGCUCCGGGGAUGUUGGGGACAGGGAGAUGUGAUGAUGCAGUGACAGGUGACACGGUGACACGGUGACACAGUGACACGGUGACACAGUGACACGGUGAC